GGCAUGACUAGUACGGCGAGUGAGCGGCACAGCUCAAAUUUGAAAUCUGGCUCUCGGGCCCGAGUUGUAAUUUGUAGAGGAUACUUUUGAUGCGGUGCCUUCCGAGUUCCCUGGAACGGGACGCCAUAGAGGGUGAGAGCCCCGUCUGGUUGGAUGCCAAAUCUCUGUAAAGUUCCUUCAACGAGUCGAGUUGUUUGGGAAUGAAA
Molecule: ribosomal RNA, 206 nt
Filed under: uncultured fungus
Lineage: Eukaryota; Fungi
Description: partial 26S ribosomal RNA
Rfam family: Eukaryotic large subunit ribosomal RNA
Source: RNAcentral